UUUCCGUAGGUGAACCUGCGGAAGGAUCAUUCAUAAUAUGUGAUUUAUGCCACUUCUUUAUACCCAUAUCCGCCUUGUGUGCUAUGUCAGGGUUGGUCUCUGUUGAUCAGCCCCACACAGCAACUAAAAUCCCAACUCUUUGUCUGAAACAUACUAUGCUUUUAACAAUUCAAAAUACAACUUUCAACAACGGAUCUCUUGGUUCUA
This 207-nucleotide unclassified non-coding RNA is filed under the name plant metagenome. RNAcentral's name for it is "partial contains small subunit ribosomal RNA, internal transcribed spacer 1, and 5.8S ribosomal RNA". The record is from RNAcentral.